RNAcentral lists this ribosomal RNA (119 nucleotides) under Cephalotus follicularis. Lineage: Eukaryota; Viridiplantae; Streptophyta; Magnoliopsida; Oxalidales; Cephalotaceae. The record is from RNAcentral.
GGGUCCGAUUGUACCAGCACUGAUGCACCGGUUCCCAUCAGAACUCCACAGUUGAGCAUGCUUUGGCGAGAGUAGUACUGGGAUGGGUGACCUCCUGGGAAGUCCUCGUGUUGCACCCC